Molecule: ribosomal RNA, 497 nt
Filed under: uncultured bacterium
Lineage: Bacteria
Description: partial 16S ribosomal RNA
Rfam family: Bacterial small subunit ribosomal RNA
Source: RNAcentral
GAUGAACGCUGGCGGCGUGCCUAAUACAUGCAAGUCGAGCGAACGGACGAGAAGCUUGCUUUUCUGAUGUUAGCGGCGGACGGGUGAGUAGCACGUGGAUAACCUACCUAUAAGACUGGGAUAAUUUCGGGAAACCGGAGCUAAUACCGGAUAAUAUUUUGAACCGCAUGGUUCAUAAGUGAAAGACGGUCUUGCUGUCACUUAUAGAUGGAUCCGCGCUGCAUUAGCUAGUUGGUAAGGUAACGGCUUACCAAGGCAACGAUGCAUAGCCGACCUGAGAGGGUGGUCGGCCACACUGGAACGGAGACAGGCUCCAGAGUACUACGGUAGGCAGCAGUAGGGAAUCGUCCGCAAAAGUGGAAAACCUGACGGAGCGAGGCCGCGUGAGUUGUGAAGGUGUUCGGAGCGUAAAGCUCUGUUAUUGGUGAAGAACAUAUGUGUAAGUUACUGUGCACAGCGUGACGGUACCUAAUCAGAAAGCCACGGCUAACUACGUG